CUCUUCUUUCUUUACUCCUUUCCGCAUCGGGGCUGAUAAUUGGAUAGAAUCUCCUUAAAUAAAGAAAGGGGGCGUAUAAAUUGGGUUUUUGGCUCGCAAUAAAGCUAGGGUCCUGAUCGAGCAACUAGUAGUCCUAUCUAUCCACCUCUCCAGACACAAUAUCUUGAGUACCUAUGAUGGUGACCACAUCUGCUGGCAUGUGAUGUUUGGACAUAGAAUCGAGUCCUUGUGAAUGGGCAAAGCCAGGUGCUCUUCUUGAGUACUUAUGAUGGUGACCACAUCUGCUGGCAUGUGAUGUUUGGACAUGGAAUCGAGUCCUUGUGAAUGGGCAAAGCCAGGUGCUCUUAUUUUACGACGGUAG
RNAcentral lists this long non-coding RNA (361 nucleotides) under Nicotiana benthamiana. Its description in RNAcentral is "long non-coding RNA (NBEN_LNC016386)". The record is from RNAcentral. Lineage: Eukaryota; Viridiplantae; Streptophyta; Magnoliopsida; Solanales; Solanaceae.